RNAcentral lists this small RNA (957 nucleotides) under Pongo abelii (Sumatran orangutan). RNAcentral describes it as "retained intron". The record is from RNAcentral. Lineage: Eukaryota; Metazoa; Chordata; Mammalia; Primates; Hominidae.
CCCCCUUCCUUGGAGCGCUGCGACACGGGCUGAGGGAGCUCGGGCCAAUCAGAGGGACGGCCCCAGAAUGGCAUGGUGAUGGAACGCAGCUGAGAGGUGCCCAAUUACCUGCCCUCGGUGAGCUCAGCCAUCGGUGGGGAGGUGCCCCAGCGCUACGUGUGGCGUUUCUGCAUCGGCCUGCACUCGGCGCCUCGCUUCUUGGUGGCCUUCGCCUACUGGAACCACUACCUCAGCUGUACCUCCCCGUGUUCCUGCUAUCGCCCGCUCUGCCGCCUCAACUUCGGCCUCAAUGUCGUGGAGAACCUCGCGUUGCUAGUGCUCACUUAUGUCUCCUCCUCUGAGGACUUCAGUGGGUGCCCGGAUGAGGGAGGAGUGGGGAAGGGUUCCCUGAGGGGACGGGCCUGCCCCUACCACUUUCGGACCUUCCUACUUAGUGGUGUGGGCACUCCCUGCAAUGUGGCUCCCAAUCCUCUUUCCCUCCAGCCGUCCAUGAAAAUGCUUUCAUUGUGUUCAUUGCCUCAUCCCUCGGGCACAUGCUCCUCACCUGCAUUCUCUGGCGGUUGACCAAGAAGCACACAGUAAGUCAGGAGGUACGGUCUAUCCCUAGCGGGGGCUCCAAGUCAGCCCAGAAGAAAAUCAAGGACAUCUGUCCUCAGGAUUCGGGUAAUGGUGAGGUGGGAACUGAGUUCUAAUGGGAACCCUGGCAGAGGGGUGCUGGGGUUGGGGCUGGGGCUUGGGAACAAACUGAGGGUGGUUGGUCAGAAUCUAGGACUAUAGCACUGUGUUUGGGUAGUGUGGGAGACUGGAGAAUAGAAAAGAUGGAGGCUGCAAAUGGGGAUAGAAUGAGGAGUCGCAUCUAGGCGGCAGUGAGGAACAGUGUCAGAGGACUGGUCUGUCAUAAUUCCAGCGUCCCACCCAUGUACAUGGGUUUCUUUUCCCCCACAGUAUUUGGAAGUG